GGGAUACCACUUGGAAACAGGUGCUAAUACCGGAUAACAACAAUAGCUGCAUGGCUAUUGCUUAAAAGGCGGCGAAAGCUGUCGCUAAAGGAUGGACCCGCGGUGCAUUAGCUAGUUGGUAAGGUAAUGGCUUACCAAGGCGACGAUGCAUAGCCGAGUUGAGAGACUGAUCGGCCACAUUGGGACUGAGACACGGCCCAAACUCCUACGGGAGGCAGCAGUAGGGAAUCUUCCACAAUGGGCGAAAGCCUGAUGGAGCAACGCCGCGUGAGUGAAGAAGGUUUUCGGAUCGUAAAGCUCUGUUGUUGGUGAAGAAGGAUAGAGGUAGUAACUGGCCCCUAUCUGACGGUAAUCAACCAGAAAGUCACGGCUAACUACGUGCCAGCAGCCGCGGUAAUACGUAGGUGGCAAGCGUUGUCCGGAUUUAUUGGGCGUAAAGCGAGCGCAGGCGGAAAGAUAAGUCUGAUGUGAAAGCCCCCGGCUUAACCGAGGAAUUGCAUCGGAAACUGUGUUUCUUGAGUGCAGAAGAGGAGAGUGGAACUCCAUGUGUAGCGGUGGAAUGCGUAGAUAUAUGGAAGAACACCAGUGGCGAAGGCGGCUCUCUGGUCUGUAACUGACGCUGAGGCUCGAAAGCAUGGGUAGCGAACAGGAUUAGAUACCCUGGUAGUCCAUGCCGUAAACGAUGAGU
RNAcentral lists this ribosomal RNA (688 nucleotides) under uncultured bacterium. RNAcentral describes it as "bacterial SSU rRNA". It matches the Rfam family "Bacterial small subunit ribosomal RNA", at positions 140 to 814 of the family's 1533-position model. The record is from RNAcentral.